This 460-nucleotide ribosomal RNA is filed under the name uncultured bacterium. RNAcentral describes it as "partial 16S ribosomal RNA". It matches the Rfam family "Bacterial small subunit ribosomal RNA", at positions 338 to 795 of the family's 1533-position model. The record is from RNAcentral.
CCUACGGGUGGCAGCAGUGAGGAAUAUUGGUCAAUGGACGAGAGUCUGAACCAGCCAAGUAGCGUGAAGGAUGACUGCCCUAUGGGUUGUAAACUUCUUUUAUAUGGGAAUAAAAUGUUCCACGUGUGGGAUUUUGUAUGUACCAUAUGAAUAAGGAUCGGCUAACUCCGUGCCAGCAGCCGCGGUAAUACGGAGGAUCCGAGCGGUAUCCGGAUUUAUUGGGUUUAAAGGGAGCGUAGGUGGGUUGUUACGUCAGUUGUGAAAGUUUGCGGCUCAACCGUAAAAUUGCAGUUGAAACUGGCAGUCUUGAGUACAGUAGAGGUGUGCGAAAUUCGUGGUGUAGCGGUGAAAUGCUUAUAUAUCACGAAGAACUCCGAUUGCGAAGGCAGUUCACUGGACUGCAACUGACACUGAGGCUCGAAAGUGUGGGUAUCAAACAGGAUUAGAUACCCGUGUAGUC